This 1271-nucleotide long non-coding RNA is filed under the name Mytilus galloprovincialis (Mediterranean mussel). The record is from RNAcentral. Lineage: Eukaryota; Metazoa; Mollusca; Bivalvia; Mytilida; Mytilidae.
AAUUUUUUGUAUUAUGUAUUUGUGUGAAAAAAAUUACAAUACAUCAGAAAAUAUGUGUUUGUCACCUAUACAUUUCCAUAAAAAAUUAUAUAAAUUUUAUGUGAAUUUAAAACUAGAACUGUGAGUCUCCUCUAGCCAAAAAUAUUCGGUCGUCUUCCCUUCUAUCUGUUGAAAAGGAAAUAUUCCUUUAUAUACCUCAUCAGGUAGUGUUCCCACAGAUUAUCUCCCCUCUAAUAUGUUGACCAGGGAUUGUAUUAUGUUAUGCACAUAUUUUGGUAGUGUCAAGAAGUUUUUAAGUUUUACCCAACAUAGAUUACCUGGUCAAAGGGGGAUAACUUUACUUCAUUUCCUCCAUUAUGUAAUGUAUGUAUGCUACUUUAUCCAGUAAUCCUGUGGAGAUAAGCAUUUUUUGUUCAUUUUUUCAUUUUCUUUGACAAUAACAUGAGAAUAUUUAUAGCAAUUUCAUAUUGAAAUUAUUAUCAUCCAAUUUCAAAGAUUUGGUUUAAUUUAAUUUUCCUAUUCUUUUUAUGAAGAGUUAAAUCUUCUAUUAUGAGAUUAAAGUCCAAUAGUUACAGUCAUGACAGUCUAAAUUCUCCUCAACUAAGGCACAUCUAUGUUAAAGGCUGAAAGCACUAUGUAUUAGUGUUUUUUUUAUAAAAGCUGACACAAUAUGAGUUUGUGACAUUGUUUGUUAUUUCCAUGAUUUUGAAAUGAUUUUAAGUGGUAAAUGCCUAUUAUAUUUAAGACAACCUGCUGUAGUGUUUGUUUUAUAUUAUGUUGUUAAAGUGCUGUAUACUUAUGACGACUAAUAUGAGGUCAGAAAUGUCAACCACUAUAUAGAUAUAUGGGAGUCUAAAAUCAAGACACCAGAAGGAGCCGGGACAAAAUAACACAUCCACACUUUCAACUUUCACCAUCUUUCAAUUAUGACAUUGAUACAUAUUUUACAUGAUACAUAGUUCAGAACACCUUGUUUUUAAACUAAUUAAUUUAUUAUAAUUGGAUUAAAAUGAUUGGUAAUAAUUAGGGUUUUGAAGUAGAAAUAGUACAAAACCUUAGUGAUGAAUACAACUUUAAAAAAGAUAUGGUAAAACCUCUUCUCAGACAUGUUUCUCCAAUUUUAAAGGUUGACACCAGGGGCAAUUAUUUGUAAGAAUGUUUUGUACUGACAAGGGUCGGUACUAUUUAUUUGUUGUUACAUAUAGACCAAUUUCUGUUUACAUUCUGUUGUUUAUUAUUGUUUCACUUUGUUUCAACUUAGUGAAAUGUCA